This 972-nucleotide long non-coding RNA is filed under the name Capsella rubella. RNAcentral's name for it is "long non-coding RNA (CRUB_LNC003720)". Lineage: Eukaryota; Viridiplantae; Streptophyta; Magnoliopsida; Brassicales; Brassicaceae. The record is from RNAcentral.
UGACAGGCGGCAUUGCUAUCGGUGGAGUUGCAAUUGGGGGUUUUGCUAUAGGCGGUGUUGCAAUAGGUGGUGUUACAACAGGUGGUUUUGCGAUAGGUGGUGUUGCGACAGGAGGUGUUGCGAUAGGCGGUGUUGCAACAGGCGGUGUUGCAGAGGGAGGAGUUGCAACUGGUGGUUUUGCAAUGGGCGGAGUUGCAACAGGUGGGGUAGCUACAGGUGGUUUUGCUAUAGGUGGGGUUGCAACGGGAGGUGUUGCUACUGGAGGAGUUGCGACAGGCGGGUUAGCAAUAGGUGGAGUUGAUAUUGGUGGUGUUGCAAUUGGUGGCUUUGCAAUAGGCGGGGUUGCAACAGGAGGUGUCGCGAUAGGUGGCUUUGCUAUAGGUGGAGUUGCUACGGGAGGUGUUGCUAUUGGUGGAGUUGCGACAGGCGGCUUAGCAAUAGGUGGAGUUGCUACUGGAGGUGUUGCUGCUGGUGGUUUUGCAAUGGGCGGGGUUGCUACAGGAGGCAUCGUGACUGGUGGUUUUGCUAUAGGCGGGGUUGCAAUGGGAGGUGUUGCUACUGGCGGAGUUGCGACAGGCGGCUUAGUAAUAGGUGGAGUUGCUACUGGUGGUGUUGUGGAGGGAGGCAUUGCAACUGGUGGUUUUGCAAUGGGCGGAGUUGCAACAGGAGGGGUCGCGACAGGUGGCUUUGCUAUAGGUGGGGUUGCUACUGGCGGAGUUGCGAUAGGCGGGGUUGCUACUGGCGGAGUUGCGAUAGGCGGCUUAGCAGUAGGUGGAGUUGCUACUGGUGGUGUUGCGGAGGGAGGUGUUGCAAUUGGUGGUUUUGCAACGGGUGGGGUUGCAACGGGAGGUGUUGCUACUGGCGGAGUUGAGAUAGGCGGCUUAGUAAUAGGUGGUGUUGCUACUGGUGGUGUUGCAGAGGGAGGUGUUGCAACUGGUGGUUUUGCAAUGGGCGGGGUUGCAACAGGAGGCG